CCUACGGGAGGCAGCAGUCGAGAAUCAUUCACAAUGGGGGAAACCCUGAUGGUGCGACGCCGCGUGGGGGAAUGAAGGUCUUCGGAUUGUAAACCCCUGUCAUGUGGGAGCAAAUUAAAAAGAUAGUACCACAAGAGGAAGAGACGGCUAACUCUGUGCCAGCAGCCGCGGUAAUACAGAGGUCUCAAGCGUUGUUCGGAAUCACUGGGCGUAAAGCGUGCGUAGGCUGUUUCGUAAGUCGUGUGUGAAAGGCGCGGGCUCAACCCGCGGACGGCCCAUGAUACUGCGAGACUAGAGUAAGGGAGGGGGAACCGGAAUUCUCGGUGUAGCAGUGAAAUGCGUAGAUAUCGAGAGGAACACUCGUGGCGAAGGCGAGUUCCUGGACAUUAACUGACGCUGAGGCACGAAGGCCAGGGGAGCGAAAGGGAUUAGAUACCCGAGUAGUC
This 446-nucleotide ribosomal RNA is filed under the name uncultured bacterium. RNAcentral describes it as "partial 16S ribosomal RNA". It matches the Rfam family "Bacterial small subunit ribosomal RNA", at positions 338 to 795 of the family's 1533-position model. The record is from RNAcentral.